GAUGAACGCUGGCGGCGUGCCUAAUACAUGCAAGUCGAGCGAACAGAUGAGGAGCUUGCUCCUCUGACGUUAGCGGCGGACGGGUGAGUAACACGUGGAUAACCUACCUAUAAGACUGGGAUAACUUCGGGAAACCGGAGCUAAUACCGGAUAAUAUAUUGAACCGCAUGGUUCAAUAGUGAAAGACGGUUUUGCUGUCACUUAUAGAUGGAUCCGCGCCGCAUUAGCUAGUUGGUAAGGUAACGGCUUACCAAGGCAACGAUGCGUAGCCGACCUGAGAGAGUGAUCGGCCACACUGGAACUGAGACGCGGUCCAGACUCCUACGAGAGGGAGCAGUAGGGAAUCUUCCGCAAUGGUCGAAAGCCUGACGGAGCAACGCCGCGUGUGAGAUGAAGGUCUUCGGAGCGUAAAACUCUGUUAUUAGGGAAGAACAAAUGUGUAAGUAACUAUGCACGUCUUGACGGUACCUAAUCAGAAAGCCACGGCUAACUACGUG
Molecule: ribosomal RNA, 497 nt
Filed under: uncultured bacterium
Lineage: Bacteria
Description: partial 16S ribosomal RNA
Rfam family: Bacterial small subunit ribosomal RNA
Source: RNAcentral